Molecule: non-coding RNA, 102 nt
Filed under: Bacillus thermotolerans
Lineage: Bacteria; Bacillati; Bacillota; Bacilli; Caryophanales; Bacillaceae
Also listed under: 1 other name
Description: Quasibacillus thermotolerans Purine riboswitch aptamer
Rfam family: Purine riboswitch aptamer
About the family: Riboswitches are metabolite binding domains within certain messenger RNAs that serve as precision sensors for their corresponding targets. Allosteric rearrangement of mRNA structure is mediated by ligand binding, and this results in modulation of gene expression. A class of riboswitches that selectively recognises guanine and becomes saturated at concentrations as low as 5 nM.
Source: Rfam by way of RNAcentral
GUAAGUGACAAACACAGACCUCAUAUAAUAGCGGGAAUAAGGCUCGCGAGUUUCUACCUGGUUACCUUAAAUAACCGGACUAUGGGGAAAGCACAACUUAUC